Molecule: long non-coding RNA, 459 nt
Filed under: Brassica napus (rape)
Lineage: Eukaryota; Viridiplantae; Streptophyta; Magnoliopsida; Brassicales; Brassicaceae
Description: long non-coding RNA (BNAP_LNC008968)
Source: RNAcentral
AGACGGAUGAGAAUAUAUGAUUUGCAAAAGAGCUGGUUCCGGAGUUGAUGGAGGUGGAAAAGAAACCACCACACAAGGUGGAGAAGAAGAAGUGACGAUGGGAUGAAGAGAAAUGGGUGGAGACGUCAGUGGAGAGAAGGUUGUGGUAAUGAUGAAACAACUAGUGACAAUGGUAGUCGCAGUGCUGAUUUUACACAUGGAAUAAUAGUAAACACAAUAUAUAUUGCAUUUCAUUUCUAUUCUAUAUGUAUACAAUUGUAAAGAACAUAAAAAUGUUCAUUUUCUCUGAUCGUUUUUACUAACUGACAGUGGCGUGUACGUGACAGAAGCAAAGAAGAAGGUGCAUCUCUCCAUGUCAAAUACAGAGGAUGUGGGAGGUGUGAGUCCUGGAAUGUGAACAAGAAAAGAGGAAUAAAGUUAGGGGUUUGUGCUUUCACGGUGGUGUAUAUGACUCUGUGA